AUCUUGUAAAUGCGGAUAAUAUAGCCUUGCGAAGUUUGCCGUUUUUCAGUCAUUUUGUAUUACAAACGGGAAAUUGACAUCCGAUUCGGGUGUUGGGGCUGCAAUUUUCCAUUUGUAAUGCAAAAUGACUGAAAAACGGCAAACUUCGCAAGGCUAUAUUAUCCGCAUUUUACGAGAUU
Paramuricea clavata is the source of this 179-nucleotide non-coding RNA. The record is from the annotation of a GenBank genome assembly. Lineage: Eukaryota; Metazoa; Cnidaria; Anthozoa; Malacalcyonacea; Plexauridae.